RNAcentral lists this ribosomal RNA (484 nucleotides) under uncultured bacterium. RNAcentral describes it as "partial 16S ribosomal RNA". It matches the Rfam family "Bacterial small subunit ribosomal RNA", at positions 29 to 523 of the family's 1533-position model. The record is from RNAcentral.
AGCGAACGCUGGCGGCGCGCUUAACACAUGCAAGUCGAACGAUGAACCCGGAGCUUGCUCCGGCGGAUUAGUGGCGAACGGGUGAGUAACACGUGAGUAACCUGCUCUUGACUCUGGGAUAACUGCUAGAAAUGGUAGCUAAUACCGGAUACGACCCUCGGUGGCAUCACCAGGGGGUGGAAAGAAUUUCGGUCAAGGAUGGACUCGCGGCCUAUCAGCUAGUUGGUGAGGUAACGGCUCACCAAGGCGACGACGGGUAGCCGGCCUGAGAGGGUGACCGGCCACACUGGGACUGAGACACGGCCCAGACUCCUACGGGAGGCAGCAAUGGGGAAUAUUGCACAAUGGGCGCAAGCCUGAUGCAGCAACGCCGCGUGAGGGAUGACGGCCUUCGGGUUGUAAACCUCUUUUAGUAGGGAAGAAGCGAAAGUGACGGUACCUGCAGAAAAAGCACCGGCUAACUACGUGCCAGCCGCCGCCGUAA